ACGCUGGCGGCGUGCUUAACACAUGCAAGUCGAACGGUGAAGGCGGAGCUUGCUCUGCUGGAUCAGUGGCGAACGGGUGAGUAACACGUGAGCAAUCUGCCCCUGACUCUGGGAUAAGCGCUGGAAACGGCGUCUAAUACUGGAUACGAGCUGCGAAGGCAUCUUCAGCAGCUGGAAAGAACUUCGGUCAGGGAUGAGCUCGCGGCCUAUCAGCUUGUUGGUGAGGUAACGGCUCACCAAGGCGUCGACGGGUAGCCGGCCUGAGAGGGUGACCGGCCACACUGGGACUGAGACACGGCCCAGACUCCUACGGGAGGCAGCAGUGGGGAAUAUUGCACAAUGGGCGAAAGCCUGAUGCAGCAACGCCGCGUGAGGGACGACGGCCUUCGGGUUGUAAACCUCUUUUAGCAGGGAAGAAGCGAAAGUGACGGUACCUGCAGAAAAAGCGCCGGCUAACUACGU
RNAcentral lists this ribosomal RNA (462 nucleotides) under uncultured bacterium. Its description in RNAcentral is "partial 16S ribosomal RNA". It matches the Rfam family "Bacterial small subunit ribosomal RNA", at positions 33 to 506 of the family's 1533-position model. The record is from RNAcentral.